Molecule: non-coding RNA, 26 nt
Filed under: Mus musculus (house mouse)
Lineage: Eukaryota; Metazoa; Chordata; Mammalia; Rodentia; Muridae
Source: RNAcentral
UGGAAAGAUGCCAUGGUCCUCCUCGG